RNAcentral lists this ribosomal RNA (548 nucleotides) under Dictyocatenulata alba. RNAcentral's name for it is "eukaryotic LSU rRNA". The stretch from base 193 to 346 matches the Rfam family "5.8S ribosomal RNA". The record is from RNAcentral. Lineage: Eukaryota; Fungi; Ascomycota.
UUUGAACCUGCGGAAGGAUCAUUACCGAGUGAGGGUGUUACUCGCGCCCGUCUCUCCAACCCUGAAUAUCCUAUCUCUGUUGCUUUGGCGGGUCGUGUCGCCGAGCUCGUCUCGGCGGCCGUCGUACCCGCCAAUAGCCCCCCAAAACACGUCUUGAACAAUGUAGUCUGAAGAUAUACAUUAAUUGCUGAAAACUUUCAACAACGGAUCUCUUGGUUCCAGCAUCGAUGAAGAACGCAGCGAAUUGCGAUAAGUAAUGUGAAUUGCAGAAUUCAGUGAAUCAUCGAGUCUUUGAACGCACAUUGCGCCCCCUGGCAUUCCGGAGGGCACGCCUGUUCGAGCGUCAUUACGCACCUCAAGCUCUGCUUGGUUAUGGGCGCCCGUCUCAGCGAGACUCGCCCGAAAAUUAGCGGCGACGUCGUCCGUCCCCGAGCGCAUUAACUUUACUGACUCGCUCCGGUGGACCUGGCGGUGCCUGCCGGGCAACUCCAGUGCGGCAGCACUCCAAAAUUGACCUCGGAUCAGGCGGGAAUACCCGCUGAACUUAA